RNAcentral lists this ribosomal RNA (463 nucleotides) under uncultured Thiobacillus sp. RNAcentral describes it as "bacterial SSU rRNA". It matches the Rfam family "Bacterial small subunit ribosomal RNA", at positions 916 to 1382 of the family's 1533-position model. Lineage: Bacteria; Pseudomonadati; Pseudomonadota; Betaproteobacteria; Nitrosomonadales; Thiobacillaceae. The record is from RNAcentral.
GGGACCCGCACAAGCGGUGGAUGAUGUGGAUUAAUUCGAUGCAACGCGAAGAACCUUACUACCCUUGACAUGUCCGGAACUUGCCAGAGAUGGCUUGGGUGGCCCGAAAGGGAAUCGGAACACAGGUGCUGCAUGGCUGUCGUCAGCUCGUGUCGUGAGAUGUUGGGUUAAGUCCCGCAACGAGCGCAACCCUUAUCAUUAGUUGCUACGCAAGGGCACUCUAAUGAGACUGCCGGUGACAAACCGGAGGAAGGUGGGGAUGACGUCAAGUCCUCAUGGCCCUUAUGGGUAGGGCUUCACACGUCAUACAAUGGUCGGUACAGAGGGUUGCCAAGCCGCGAGGCGGAGCCAAUCCCACAAAGCCGAUCGUAGUCCGGAUUGUUCUCUGCAACUCGAGAGCAUGAAGUCGGAAUCGCUAGUAAUCGCAGGUCAGCAUACUGCGGUGAAUACGUUCCCGGGUCUU